This 2576-nucleotide long non-coding RNA is filed under the name Homo sapiens (human). RNAcentral describes it as "NR2F1 regulatory antisense RNA 1". Lineage: Eukaryota; Metazoa; Chordata; Mammalia; Primates; Hominidae. The record is from RNAcentral.
GGGAGUCGGCGACCGCUUAGUGACGAGCGAUGAUUUUAAAGAGCAGAAUAAAAGGUUUUCCCGUGCCUGCCCCACAGCCCCUCCAGCUCGAAUAAUGGAGAACUGUCAAUGCACUCCGCGAGCGGUGGCCCAUUGUACGCAGCUGAUGGCGAGGAGGCGACUGGGGGUAGCAGGGGCUCCUUGCCCUCGUCCCUAUGCCCAAAUAAACGCGCAAACGCGCUCCCGUCUUCUGGUCAGUUAAAAGGUGAAACGAACACGAUUAAAAUAGACCAAAAGAAAAGAAAGAAAAGAAAACCUUUCUAUGUACAGAUUCUAAAUCGUACUCCCCAUACAGUCAGAGGCAGGGAGUCGAGGGCAGAGGCAGCAGGCGGAGAGAGGGAGAUAGGGCGAGGGAAGGAGAACGCGGAGAGAGACGAAGGGAGUGGGAGACCAGCGACAGCGAGCGCCAGGGCACCGCAGGCACACUGGAUGCCCAGUCCGCCGGCCCAGCCGCCCUCGGACCCUGGACCGUGCGUCGUGGGCACCAGAAACGAGACUCGGCCAAAUCCUGCCUCACCAGCAGGUAGAUGAAACUCAAGAGAAAAGGUGUGGAUAAAUGAAACUAGCCCAUGAUGAACCUGUUUUCUCCGUGACCACAAUAUUAACCAGGAUGAAUGGCGGUGGCAGUGGGCCUGCAUCACAGGUUGCAGCAGAUGUUCUCAAUAUUUCUAUUAAAAUUUCCUUAUUUCCAUAUGCAAGAGGAGCCCCAGAGCUGCAUCCUUAUGGUAGCUACCAUGCCGUGAUGUAAGCUGCCAUUCACUGGGGAGCUUUGGCAAUAGAAUUGGCUAGAUCAGGAAGCCUAUGUCAACUAUGGAACAACAACUUGCAGCUCAUCUCUAUUGAUGAUGGAAUCUCGCUAUGUCACCAGGCUGGAGUGCAGUGGCGCAACCUCGGCUCAGCGCAACAUCCGCCUCCCGGGUUCAAGUGAUUCUCCUACCUCAGCCUCCUGAGUAGCUGGGAUUACAGGAAUCUAAUGACCAUUGAACUGUGGCCAUGACUUCAAUUACAAAUACACUGCCUCUAGGACUGGGACAGAUAGCCACUGAGUACCUGCUUCAAAUCACCCUGCACGUUUUCUCUUUGGAAAGAUAAGCACUGGAGAACCAUCUCGUUACCUUCAGCAGAAAUGGAAACAAAUCAAGACAUUAAGAAUGCCGCAGUGGACAGCAGUUAUGCAAGGUUCAGCAGAGGAAGUUUUCAAGAUGGUGUGCCUCACUAGCCAGAAAUCAGAAAAGAUCGAAGCUAGCCUUUUCAUCUCAGCUGCUCCUUAAAUCAGUGCAACCCCUCCAAAUUAAUGUGAAUUGAAACUUGCAUUGCUUUUCAACUUAAUUGAAUACUUACUAUAUGUGAACCACUGCACAAAAUAGGGGAAGAAGAUGUGGGAGACAAAGAUGUGGAGCCUGUCUUCAAUAAAUUUACAGUUAGUUUCAGGGUACAUUGUUUUUCUUCUGCUGUUAAUUAGGUGUAUCCCCAAGACAAUAAAUACAUGAAUGGAAAAGUAUAUUCUGUGUUUUAAGUCUCUUUAAUAAAAAACAAAACAAAAUCCAAAAAAACUCCUAACAUGGCAACUCAGGACAUUUUAAUCCUUUUUUUUGUUGUUGGGCUUCUGAUAGGAUCCAUUUUAUUGAUUCCAUAAAUAUUUAGUAGACUUUAGACAUAUUAAUACAUUGUAGUUUGAGUUAAUUUGCAUUAAAUUCUGUUUUUUUCCCCUUAGGUAUAGAUUGUCUGUUGGAAAAAUAUAUUGCUUGUGGAUUUCUUGGGGAGUGGGAAGGUGAAUUAUACCUGUUGUCUCUACAGUCCACUACCUUCCACACCCUAGGGCAGUGGUCCCCAACCUUCUUGGCACCAGGGAUCAGUUUCCUGGAAGACAAUUUUUCUGUGGAUGGUGUGGGGAUGGUUUUGGGAUGGAACUGUUCCACCUCAGAUCAUCAGGCAUUAGUUAGGCUCUCAUAACGAGUGCGCAGCCUAGAUCCCUCACAUGCACAGUUCACAGUAGGGUUUGCGCUGCUAUGAGAAUCUAAGGCUGCCACUGAUCUGACAGGAGGCAGAACUCAGGUGGCAAUGCUUACUGGCCCACUGCUCACCUCUUGCUGUGCGGCCUGGUUCCUAAUAGGCCAUGGACCCCCACAGACGGGUACUAGUCUGCAGCCUGUGGACCCCAGCCCUAGGGGCCUGCCAUUCUGAGUGAGUUAUUAGCAUGAAGAAGAGGAAGAUCUGGAUCAAACGUGGGUGAUGGUACUCAGAGACCCAAGAUAGGAUAGGGAUGGAACAAAAUCCAUCUGGGCAACGGCUCUAUGAAAAUUUGGCUAAGUAAUUAUUUCAGUAUUCAUUGUAUUCAUUGUCCUUCGUGUUCCAUAAGUUAAAUGACUGUCUAAUUUUUCCAAAAAUUUAUUUCUGACUUGAGAAUAAGUGUGUCAUGAUUUUCCCAGUGUAAAGACACUGAUAUAACUGUAGAUACCAGACAUUUUAUGUAGUGUCUAUGACACAUUUUAGUAUGUAUGAGCCAACAAUAGACAUGUCUUUGUCUUGAGGAGUGU